AGAGUUUGAUCCUGGCUCAGGAUGAACGCUAGCUACAGGCUUAACACAUGCAAGUCGCAGGGUAACGUGAGGGAAGCUUGCUUCCCUUGACGACGACUGGCGCACGGGUGAGUAACGCGUAUCCAACCUUCCCAUGACCACGGGAUAACCCGUUGAAAGACGGACUAAUACCGUAUGACGUCGUUUGCUGACAUCAAAUAACGAUUAAAGGUUUAGCGGUGAUGGAUGGGGAUGCGUCUGAUUAGCUUGUUGGCGGGGUAACGGCCCACCAAGGCGACGAUCAGUAGGGGUUCUGAGAGGAAGGUCCCCCACAUUGGAACUGAGACACGGUCCAAACUCCUACGGGAGGCAGCAGUGAGGAAUAUUGGUCAAUGGGCGAGAGCCUGAACCAGCCAAGUAGCGUGCAGGAUGACGGCCCUAUGGGUUGUAAACUGCUUUUAUGCGGGGAUAAAGUGCGCGACGUGUCGUGCAUUGCAGGUACCGCAUGAAUAAGGACCGGCUAAUUCCGUGCCAGCAGCCGCGGUAAUACGGAAGGUCCGGGCGUUAUCCGGAUUUAUUGGGUUUAAAGGGAGCGUAGGCCGCCAGGUAAGCGUGUUGUGAAAUGUACCGGCUCAACCGGUGAAUUGCAGCGCGAACUGUCUGGCUUGAGUGCACGGUAAGCAGGCGGAAUUCAUGGUGUAGCGGUGAAAUGCUUAGAUAUCAUGAAGAACUCCGAUUGCGAAGGCAGCUUGCUGCAGUGCGACUGACGCUGAUGCUCGAAGGUGCGGGUAUCAAACAGGAUUAGAUACCCUGGUAGUCCGCACGGUAAACGAUGGAUGCCCGCUGUCCGCCCCUUUGUGGCGGGUGGCCAAGCGAAAGCGUUAAGCAUCCCACCUGGGGAGUACGCCGGCAACGGUGAAACUCAAAGGAAUUGACGGGGGCCCGCACAAGCGGAGGAACAUGUGGUUUAAUUCGAUGAUACGCGAGGAACCUUACCCGGGCUUGAACUGCCG
This 992-nucleotide ribosomal RNA is filed under the name Hoylesella buccalis ATCC 35310. RNAcentral describes it as "bacterial SSU rRNA". It matches the Rfam family "Bacterial small subunit ribosomal RNA", at positions 8 to 991 of the family's 1533-position model. Lineage: Bacteria; Pseudomonadati; Bacteroidota; Bacteroidia; Bacteroidales; Prevotellaceae. The record is from RNAcentral.